CAUGAUAUCAUUAUCGCACAAGCACUCAGCAAGUUAAGAGAAUGUAUUGACGUGUUAAA
RNAcentral lists this ribosomal RNA (59 nucleotides) under Eimeria chapmani. RNAcentral describes it as "large subunit ribosomal RNA". The record is from RNAcentral. Lineage: Eukaryota; Apicomplexa; Conoidasida; Eucoccidiorida; Eimeriidae.